CCCUCACACCAUGGGAGUUUGUAAUGCCCAAAGCCGGUGGCCUAACCGUAAGGAGGGAACCGUCUAAGGCAGGACAGAUGACUGGGGUGAAGUCGUAACAAGGUAGCCGUAGGAGAACCUGCGGCUGGAUCACCUCCUUUCUAAGGAUAAACGGAAAGUAGCAGGGGCAUUAGAUUGCCAGUUCAAGAAGUUCAAAGUUUUGUUUAGUUUUGAGUGUGAUACCGACAUAGGGAUCAUGGUCAAAGAUGACACCUAUGGGGAAUUAGCUCAGCUGGGAGAGCACCUGCUUUGCAAGCAGGGGGUCAGCGGUUCGAUCCCGCUAUUCUCCAUAGGCAGUGUCAAAGCUGCCGGAGUUGCACAUUGAAAACUGAAUAGUAACAAAUUCUUUUAAAGAUAAGUAAAAUUAUUAAUAAAUUAAGCCGAGAAACAAAGCAAUAAAGAAGUUCUGUAACAGGAAUGGAAAAAACGCAGGUCUGAAAGAAGACCAACUCAUAAACUUAAAGCACAACUACGGUUGUGACGGUUAAGUUAAUAAGGGCGCGUGGUGGAUGCCUUGGCACUAGGAGCCGAUGAAGGACGUGACUAACUACGAUAAGCUUUGGUGAGCGGUAAGUACGCUAAGACCCAGAGAUUUCCGAAUGGGGAAACCCAACUCGCAAAGAGUUGUCAUUAUCUGAAUACAUAGAUUAUUGACGGAACACGCUGUGAACUGAAACAUCUCAUUAGCAGCAGGAGCAGAAAGAAAAAUCGAUUCCCUAAGUAGCGGCGAGCGAAAAGGGAAGAGCCCAAACCAGAGUGCUUGCAUCUGGGGUUGUAGGACUGAUAUAUAGGAGUUACAAAAGUGUUUUAUAGCAGAACAAGUUGGGAAGCUUGGCUAAGAGGGUGAUAGCCCCGUACGCGAAAUAAAGCACCCUCCUUUCAGUAUCCUGAGUACGGCCGGACACGUGAAAUCCGGUCGGAAUCUGCGGGGACCAUCCCGUAAGGCUAAAUACUCCCUAGUGACCGAUAGUGAACCAGUACCGGAGGGAAAGGUGAAAAGCACCCCGGAAGGGGAGUGAAAUAGUUCCUGAAACCACGACGCCUACAAGAAGUCAGAGCCCGUUAAUGGGUGAUGGCGUGCCUUUUGUAGAAUGAACCGGCGAGUUACGGUAUCGUGCAGGUUAAGGUGGAAAGACCGGAGCCGCAGCGAAAGCGAGUGUGAAUAGCGCGAAUAGUACGAUGCUGUAGACCCGAAACCAGGUGACCUACCCAUGGUCAGGAUGAAGGUGAGGUAAAACUUACUGGAGGUCCGAACCGGUGCAUGUUAAAAAAUGCUCGGAUGAACUGUGGGUAGCGGUGAAAUUCCAAACGAACCUGGAGAUAGCUGGUUCUCUCCGAAAUAGCUUUAGGGCUAGCCUCAUUAUUAGCAUACUGGAGGUAGAGCACUGUUUAGCCUAGGGGCCCACCUCGGGUUACCAAAGUUUGAUAAACUCCGAAUGCCAAUCACGUAUAUCCGGGAGUCAGACAGUGAGUGAUAAGAUCCAUUGUCGAAAGGGGAACAGCCCAGAUCGUCAGUUAAGGUCCCUAAGUGUGUGUUAAGUGGAAAAGGAUGUGGAGUUGCAUAGACAACUAGGAUGUUGGCUCAGAAGCAGCCACCAUUUAAAGAGUGCGUAAUAGCUCACUAGUCGAGUGAUUCUGCGCCGAAAAUGUACCGGGGCUAAACACACCACCGAAACUACGGGUGCCACGUAAGUGGCGCGAUAGGAGAGCGUUCUAUGGGCGAAGAAGUCAGACCGUGAGGACUGGUGGAGCGCAUAGAAGUGAGAAUGCCGGUAUGAGUAGCGAAAGACAGGUGAGAAUCCUGUCCACCGAAUGACUAAGGUUUCCUGGGGAAGGCUCGUCCUCCCAGGGUAAGUCGGGACCUAAGGCGAGGCUGAGAAGCGUAGUCGAUGGCCAACAGGUUGAGAUUCCUGUACCAGGUGAAGAUGUUUGACAAUGGAGGGACGCAGAAGGCUAACAGAACCCAGCAGUUGGAAAGGCUGGGCCAAAUCAUAAGUCUGACGUUGAGUUAAAUGCUUGACGUCGUCAAGGACAAGUGAUGAUGGGGACCGAAAUAAAGUAGAGAAGUCUGGAUGUCACCUGCCAGAAAAGCUUCUAGGAGUUUCUGCCCGUACCGCAAACCGACACAGGUAGUCGAGUGGAGAACACUAAGGUGAGCAGAGAACCGUUAAGGAACUCGGCAAAAUGACCCCGUAACUUCGGAGAAGGGGUGCUCAGAAGUGAGCCGCAGUGAAUAGGCCCAGGCGACUGUUUAUCAAAAACACAGGUUUCUGCAAAAUCGUAAGAUGAGUAUAGGGGCUGACCCUGCCCGGUGCUGGAAGGUUAAAAGGAGUGCUUAGCUUCGGCGAAGGCACGAAUUGAAGCCCCAGUAAACGGCGGCCGUAACUAUAACGGUCCUAAGGUAGCGAAAUUCCUUGUCGGGUAAGUUCCGACCCGCACGAAAGGCGUAACGAUCUGGGCACUGUCUCAACGAGAGACUCGGUGAAAUUUAAAGACCCGUGAAGAUGCGGGUUACCCGCGACAGGACGGAAAGACCCCAUGGAGCUUUACUGUAGCUUGAUAUUGAUGUUUGUGCGCUUGUACAGAUAGGUAGGAGACGAAGAGGAUUGGACGCCAGUCUAGUCGGAGUCAAAAAGUGGGAUACUACCCUCGUUGUAUGAACAUCUAACACUGGUCACUUAACGUGAUCGUGGACAGUGUCUGGCGGGCAGUUUGACUGGGGCGGUCGCCUCCUAAAAGGUAACGGAGGCGCCAAAGGUUGCUCAGAAUGGUUGGAAAUCAUUCGUAGCGUGUAAAGGCAUAAGCAAGCUUGACUGGGAGCAACAACUCGAGCAGGUACGAAAGUAGGCUUAGUGAUCCGGUGGUUCCGCAUGGAAGGGCCAUCGCUCAACGGAAAAAGCUACCCUGGGGAUAACAGGCUAUCUCCCCCAAGAGUCCACAUCGACGGGGAGGUUUGGCACCUCGAUGUCGGCUCAUCGCAUCCUGGGGCUGUAGUCGGUCCCAAGGGUUGGGCUGUUCGCCCAUUAAAGCGGUACGCGAGCUGGGUUCAGAACGUCGUGAGACAGUUCGGUCCCUAUCCGUCGCGGGCGAGGAAAUUGAGAGGAGUUGCCCUUAGUACGAGAGGACCGGGGUGAACAAACCGCUGGUGUACCAGUUGUUCCGCCAGGAGCAUUGCUGGGUAGCUAUGUUUGGAAGAGAUAAACGCUGAAAGCAUCUAAGUGUGAAACUCGCCUCGAGAUGAGAUUUCCCAUUCGCAAGAAGUAAGACCCCUUAGAGAUUAUGAGGUAGAUAGGCUAGAAGUGGUAGUUGAGUGAUCAAUGGAGCGGACUAGUACUAAUAG
This 3379-nucleotide ribosomal RNA is filed under the name Leuconostoc gelidum. RNAcentral's name for it is "bacterial LSU rRNA". The stretch from base 522 to 3379 matches the Rfam family "Bacterial large subunit ribosomal RNA". Lineage: Bacteria; Bacillati; Bacillota; Bacilli; Lactobacillales; Lactobacillaceae. The record is from RNAcentral.